UAACACGUGGAUAACCUACCUAUAAGACUGGGAUAACUUCGGGAAACCGGAGCUAAUACCGGAUAAUAUUAUGAACCGCAUGGUUCAAAAGUGAAAGACGGUCUUGCUGUCACUUAUAGAUGGAUCUGCGCUGCAUUAGCUAGUUGGUAAGGUAACGGCUUACCAAGGCAACGAUGCAUAGCCGACCUGAGAGGGUGAUCGGCCACACUGGAACUGAGACACGGUCCAG
RNAcentral lists this ribosomal RNA (229 nucleotides) under uncultured Staphylococcus sp. RNAcentral's name for it is "partial 16S ribosomal RNA". It matches the Rfam family "Bacterial small subunit ribosomal RNA", at positions 111 to 334 of the family's 1533-position model. The record is from RNAcentral. Lineage: Bacteria; Bacillati; Bacillota; Bacilli; Caryophanales; Staphylococcaceae.